RNAcentral lists this non-coding RNA (24 nucleotides) under Arabidopsis thaliana (thale cress). The record is from RNAcentral. Lineage: Eukaryota; Viridiplantae; Streptophyta; Magnoliopsida; Brassicales; Brassicaceae.
UGUGCUGAGAUGACUUUUACUGAA